CUCAAUACAACAGCCACGCGAAGCAGCUGUUGGCCGUCAUGACGCGGUGCAGGAUCACAGACGAGGCUUUCAAGCAUGCCCAGAUCUGCUUUGUUGUCACUUCUGCUCCGCUCAGGACACGAAUCCUUUCCAGCAGCAUGUCCUGAUGAAUCAGGAGGAGACACUAACGCGAGCUUCACUUUGAUUCAUGCACAAAACAGAUUUUACUUCUAAAUUGUCUGAAGUCAAAGGUUACUGAUCUACACUGAGACUUGAGACUAAUAAAAAUAAAUAAG
RNAcentral lists this long non-coding RNA (275 nucleotides) under Takifugu rubripes (torafugu). Its description in RNAcentral is "lncRNA (ENSTRUG00000026190.1)". The record is from RNAcentral. Lineage: Eukaryota; Metazoa; Chordata; Actinopteri; Tetraodontiformes; Tetraodontidae.